Molecule: RNA transcript, 4694 nt
Organism: Epinephelus moara (kelp grouper)
Lineage: Eukaryota; Metazoa; Chordata; Actinopteri; Perciformes; Serranidae
Gene: aox6
Gene name: aldehyde oxidase 6
Exons: 36
Source: RefSeq, a predicted model, not a curated record
GCAGGCGGAAGUGUUGCCUGUGAUCCAGGCUGACUCGGUCCUGUGUUGAUGCCUGAACUGAAGUCGUCUCCUGCACUGGGAAGAUGUCUGCAGAGAAAGGAGGAACUACUUUGUGCUUCUUUGUCAACGGGAAAAAGGUCACAGAGAACCAUGCAGACCCUGAAACCAUGCUGCUGCCCUUCCUCAGAGAGAAGCUGAGGUUAACUGGAACCAAGUAUGGCUGCGGCGGUGGAGGCUGCGGGGCGUGCACGGUCAUGUUGUCGCGCUACCAACCUGCCACCAAAACCAUCAUACAUCACUCAGCCAACGCCUGCCUCCUGCCGAUCUGCCAGCUUCACGGAGCCGCCGUCACCACGGUGGAGGGCAUCGGCAGCACCAAGACCAGGAUCCACCCUGUGCAGGAGCGAAUAGCGAAGGCUCAUGGCUCCCAGUGUGGCUUCUGCACUCCAGGGAUGGUGAUGUCCAUGUACUCUCUGCUGAGGAACAAGCCUCGGCCCACCAUGGAGGACAUCACACAAGCUCUAGCUGGUAAUCUGUGUCGCUGCACUGGAUAUCGUCCAAUCGUCGACGGCUGCAGGACCUUCUGUCAGGAAGCCAACUGCUGCCAAGCCAAUGGAUCUGCAGACUGUUGCCUCAACAGACAGGAAAUCACUGAGGAACCAGAUCAUGGAAAGCCACAGUUGUUUGACAAGGAAGAUUUUCUGCCACUGGACCCGACACAGGAGCUCAUCUUCCCCCCUGAGCUCAUUCUGAUGGCAGAAACAGCGAACCCACAAACGCUCACCUUUCAUGGGGAGAGGAUGAGCUGGGUGUCCCCGGCCUCCCUGGAGGAGCUGGUCCAGCUCAAGACCAGGAACCCUAAAGCUCCGCUGGUCAUGGGAAACACCAACAUAGGUCCAGAUUUAAAAUUCAAAGGCAUCCUGUAUCCACUGAUCAUAUCUCCAACCAGAGUCACGGAGCUGUUUGAGGUCACUCAGACACCACAGGGUGUUUGGGUAGGAGCGGGCUGCAGUCUUACAGAGGUUCGGUCUCAUUUGGAGAACCUGGUUCCUCAGGUUACGGAAGAGAAGACUGAACUGUUCAGAGCCCUGAUCCAACAGCUGGGGAACGUGGGAAGCCAGCAGAUCCGUAACGUUGCUUCUCUUGGGGGCAACAUCAUGAGUGCGUACCCAAACUCAGACCUGAACCCUGUUUUGGCUGCUGGGAACUGCAAAGUCAGCGUUGUUUCGAAUGGAGGAAGACAAGAGGUUCCCCUGAAUCAAGACUUCUUCGUGAGCUUUGGAAAAAACAUCCUGAAGCCAGAGGAAAUUGUUCUUUCUGUCUUCAUUCCCUUCUCCAGAAAGGGAGAGUUUGUUCGAGCUUUCCGCCAGGCUCCGAGGAAGGAGAGCUCCUUCUCCACAGUGACGACGGGGAUGAGAGUGUUUUUCUCAGAGGGGUCCAGAGUGGUUCAGGACGUCAGUAUUUACUAUGGGGGAAUGGGACCGACCACCGUUAGUGCCACCAAAACCUGCGCAGCUAUCACCACAAGGCCUUGGGAUGAUGAGACCCUCAGCCAGGCCUAUGACGUCCUCCUGGACGAGUUGGUCCUUCCUCCCUCGGCUCCUGGAGGAAAGGUGGAGUUUCGCCGCUCUUUGACUCUCAGCUUCCUCUUCAAAUUCUACCUGGAAGUCCUGCAGAAACUCAGGGAAAUGAACGUGAUUACAGAUGAGCUUCCUGAGAAGAUGCCGGUCCACCCUUUACCCAGAGAGAUCCAACCCAGCCUGCAGGAGUUCCAGCAUGUGUCAAAGGACCAGAGUGACCAGGACCCAGUGGGGCGCCCCGUCAUGCAUCGCUCUGCCAUCAGCCAGGCCACAGGUGAGGCCGUGUACUGUGAUGACAUCCCGAGAACGGAUGGUGAGCUCUUCCUGGCUCUGGUCACCAGCUCUCGUGCGCAUGCUAAAAUCAUCGGGCUGGAUGUGAGCGAGGCUCUGCAGGUUCCCGGUGUUGUCGAUGUCAUCAGGGCCAAAGAUAUUCCUGGGCAGAAAGUUCAGAAGAUGUUUGGUUAUGAUGAGGAGCUAUUUGCCGAAACCGAGGUGUCCUGCGUCGGCCAGAUGAUAUGUGCGGUGGUCGCUGAUACGAGGGUACACGCUAGACAAGGAGCAGCAGCUGUGAAGAUCAGCUAUGAGGACCUGCCUGCCCCGGUUUUCACCCAAGAGGAAGCCAUUGAGAGGUCGUCUUUCUUUGAGCCUCAGAGGAGGAUUGAGAGAGGAGAUGUGACCAAAGCCUUUCAAACUGUUGAUCAGGUUCAUGAAGGAGAGUUUCGGAUGGGUGGCCAGGAGCAUUUCUACAUGGAGACCCAGAGCAUGCUGGUUGUUCCUGUUGGUGAGGAGAAGGAGUUCAGAGCUUACGUCUCCACCCAGUGGCCGACGUUAACUCAGACCACAAUAGCGGAGACGCUGGGCAUCCCGUCCAACAGGGUCACCUGUCACAUCAAAAGGAUAGGCGGAGCUUUUGGCGGAAAGAUCGUUACAACUGCGACACUGGCUUCCAUUACCUCUGUGGCUGCAUGGAAGACCAAUCGUGCAGUGCGCUGUGUCCUGGAGCGAGGAGAGGACAUGUUGAUCACAGGAGGCCGUCACCCUGUCCUGGCUAAAUACAAAGUCGGUUUCAUGAAUGACGGAAGGAUUGUUGCUGCGGAUAUCCAGUACUACACCAACGCUGGCUACACUGUGGAUGAAUCUGUUCUGGUGGUAGAAAAAAUUCUGCUUCACUUCGACAAUGUCUACAACAUCCCCAACCUGAGAGGCCAUGGUGCUGCCUGCAGGACCAACUUGCCUUCCAACACCGCCUUCAGGGGCUUUGGCGUGCCACAGAGCCUCAUGGUCGUGGAGAUCAUGAUCAAUGAUGUGGCAAUGGUGCUGGGACGCCCAGCAGACCAGAUUCGGGAGAUCAACAUGUACAAGGGGCCGUCAGUCACUCACUACAAGUUUGAGUUUGACCCGGAGAACAUGCUGCGCUGCUGGGAGGAAUGUAAAGGGAAGUCUGACUACAGCGCCCGCCGCAGAGCUGUGGAGCAGUUUAACCAGCAGAACCGCUGGAAGAAGAGAGGGAUGGCCAUCAUCCCCAUUAAAUAUGGGAUUGCAUUUUCGGAGGGCUUCUUAAAUCAGGCCGGAGCUCUGGUCCACAUCUAUAAAGACGGCUCUGUCCUAGUCACUCAUGGUGGGACGGAGAUGGGUCAGGGACUCCACACUAAAAUCCAACAGGUGGCGAGUCGGGAGCUCCACAUCCCGCCCUCUAAGAUCUACAUCAGCGAAACCAGCACCAACACUGUUCCUAACACCUGCCCCUCUGCUGCCUCCUUCGGAACUGACGCCAACGGCGUGGCGGUCAAGAUUGCCUGCCAGACUCUGUACCAGCGCCUGGAGCCGAUCAGGCAGAAGGACCCCAAAGGCUCAUGGGAGAGUUGGAUCACGGCAGCGUUUUUUGAGAAAAUCAAUUUAUCGGCGACUGGAUUCUACAGAGGUCCAGACCUCUACAUGGACUGGGACAAGAUGGAGGGGCAGCCGUACGCCUACUUCACAUACGGAGCGUGCUGCUGUGAAGUGGAGCUGGACUGCCUCACAGGAGACUACAGGACCGUGAGGACGGACCUUGUGGUGGACAUUGGUAGAAGUGUGAACCCCUCAGUGGACAUCGGCCAGAUUGAAGGAGCGUUCAUGCAGGGUUUGGGUCUCUACACUCUGGAGGAGUUGAAGUUUUCCCCCUCUGGGCUCCUGUACACUCGAGGUCCAUCUCAGUAUAAGAUCCCUGCGCUCUGCGACCUGCCGCUUCGCUUCAACGUCUACUUGCUGUCAGACUCUUUCAACCCCCACGCCAUCUACUCCUCAAAGGGUAUUGGAGAGCCCGUCCUCUUCCUGGGCAGUUCAGUGUUCUUUGCCAUUAAAGACGCCGUGGCUGCAGCCCGCUCCGAGUCCGGUUUAGUCGGCCCCUUUCCCUUGGACAGCCCUGCGACACCAGAGAGGGCCUGUCUGGCUUGUUGCUCCCCGUUCACUCAGAAGAUUCCAGCCAGCAAACCAGGAUCUUUCAAACCGUGGGCCUUAAACAUCUAAAACUCAAUCUCAACUGUUUUUUGUUUGUUUGUUUUGCUUUUUUAAUCAAUUUUGGGAAAGUCAUGGAAAUUUUGUUGUGUAAAGAAAUUGUCACAGUAAUCUUGUUUUGCUAGUGCAUCAUUCUCUCUUCAUGUAUGGUAGCUACCUGAAUUUAUGUUUGACUAAAGUUUUAAUCUGUUUAUAAUUAUUUAAAUGGAGUCUGGUGGGUUUGGUGAUGGUGAUUUCAGGGCUGUUUCUGGUUAAACAAAAAGGGUCUUACUCUUUAACAAAAGGUCUAUCUCUGUAGGGAUCCUUUCAUAAUGUUGUUGGACAUUUUUACUAACAAUCUGAGCCUGUCAGUGACAAAAACACUUUAAGAGGACGUCCACUGAUGAUGCAAGCAUGCCGUUACCCUGCAGCCUGUUUCAGCAGCGCUCUCACUCAAUACUGGAACCGUUUCAAAAAUGAGUAGUAGCUUAGGUAGAAAAGAGGGUCCAGGUUUAAAGAAUAAUACCAAAGUUACCCUUUACUUCAUAUUUUCUUACGCUCUUGCUCUUAUCCUACAGGAUCACUGUUUCACCAAUAGAAGAAUAAAUGAUUGAGCAGUUAUUGAAUGCACUAAAUAAA